GGUUCAGAACGAACGCUGGCGGCGUGCUUAACACAUGCAAGUCGAACGCGAAAGGGACUUCGGUCCUGAGUAAAGUGGCGCACGGGUGAGUAACGCGUAGAUAACCUGUCUUCAUGUCUGGAAUAAUACGCCGAAAGGGGUACUAAUACCGGAUAUUCUUGCUUUUCAUAAGUUAUGCAAGCAAAGGUGGCCUCUGCAUAUGCUACUGCAUGAAGAGGGGUCUGCGUACCAUUAGCUAGUAGGUGGGGUAAUGGCCUACCUAGGCGACGAUGGUUAGCGGGUCUGAGAGGAUGAUCCGCCACACUGGCACUGGAACACGGGCCAGACUCCUACGGGAGGCAGCAGUGAGGAAUAUUGCGCAAUGGGGGAAACCCUGACGCAGCGACGCCGCGUGAAGUGAGGAAGGCCUUCGGGUCGUAAAGCUCUGUCAAGAGGAAAGAAGUGUACAAUGGCUAAUACCUGUUGUAUUUGACGGUACCUCUAAAGGAAGCACCGGCUAACUCCGUGCCAGCCGCUGC
This 518-nucleotide ribosomal RNA is filed under the name uncultured bacterium. Its description in RNAcentral is "bacterial SSU rRNA". It matches the Rfam family "Bacterial small subunit ribosomal RNA", at positions 21 to 518 of the family's 1533-position model. The record is from RNAcentral.